UACGUAGGGUGCAAGCGUUGUCCGGAAUUAUUGGGCGUAAAGAGCUCGUAGGCGGUUCUGUCGCGCGCGUGAAAUCCCGAGGCUCAACCUCGGGUCUGCAGUCGAUACGGGCAAACUGGAGUACUGCAGGGGAGACUGGAAUUCCCGGUGUAGCGGUGAGAUGCGCAGAUAUCAGGAGGAACACCGGUGGCGAAGGCGGGUCUCUGGGCCGAUACUGACGCUGAGGAGCGAAAGCGUGGGGAGCGAACAGG
This 251-nucleotide ribosomal RNA is filed under the name uncultured bacterium. RNAcentral describes it as "partial 16S ribosomal RNA". It matches the Rfam family "Bacterial small subunit ribosomal RNA", at positions 524 to 776 of the family's 1533-position model. The record is from RNAcentral.